Non-coding RNA from Zonotrichia albicollis (white-throated sparrow), 1736 nucleotides. The record is from RefSeq and is a predicted model, not a curated record. NCBI's taxonomy places the organism in Eukaryota, Metazoa, Chordata, Aves, Passeriformes, Passerellidae.
CUUCCACUAGCCCAGGUUGCUCAGAGCCCCAUCCAACCUAGCUUUGAACAGUUCCAGAGAUGGGGCAGCCACAGAUUCUGUGCCUUCUACCCUCACCACCCUAACAGUAAAGAAUUUCUUCCUCAUACUUAAUCUAAACCUAGCCUCUGUCAGUGUGAAGCCAUUCCCACUCAUCCUGUCACUCCAGGCUCUUGCCAAUUGUCUCCAUCUUGUCUCCUGUGUAUAUUGAAAGGCCACAUAAGGUCUCCCUGGACCCUUCUCCAGGCUGAACAACCCCAACUAUCUAGGCCUGUCCUCAUAGGAGAAGUUAAUUAAUUUCUGAUUGAUUUUUGAUAAUCUGCUUUAGAGACUCUCCUAGGGGGAGGAGGUUCCCAUCUUCUAAGGAAUGUGAGCAUUUCAGGAGCUCCUGAGGAGGAAUGGCUGCCAAAGAACAGGUGUAAAACAUCUCCUUCAUUUUAGGAGCACCAGCUUCCAGGAUCACUUGGAGUUAUGUAGCCUCCUUGUAUCAGCUAUGUAGUGAAAUCAUUAUCUUAUAUAUAUUAUUAUAUAUAUAUUAUAUAAUCCUUCCAGUCUAAAGAGCACAAACUGCCUGGACAGGAUACCACUUAAAAUGCUUAAGAGCAUGGACAAGGCAGGUUCUCCCUGCUGAUCCUCCCAUGGGGAUGCCAGUAAGAAUUCUCUGCUGCGCCUAACCACUGAUCCCUGGCUACAGGAGCAUUGCUCCCUGUUUAGAGGAACAUUGAUUCCUGGAUAUAGGAACCUCCUCAUCUCUGAUUCCUUUACAUGCUUGUAUUUGAUUGAAAUAAGACAGUUGGUUCCUAAUGGGCAGCUGACAGUGGGAUAAAAAAAGCUGUAUUUCCUUCAAAAACUAGAGGAAAAAACCAUCCCCAAGCCUGUCAAAACUACACCAUGAAAUUAAUCCCCAAAUCUGAAAAUAUGUAUUAAAAUCAAAGAGAGCUUCUGAACUGUGUUUGAUUUUGAAACUUCUUGGGAGAAAUGGACACUAUUAGGUGAUGAAUCAUCUGACCUGUUUCAGGUGUCUACCUUAGGAAUAGGUGAAUCAUGCCCUAGAAAGGCUGCUUCAGUAUUUGACAAAGGGGCUUUCCUUGUUUUGUUUGAUGAUCUAUUCUCAAUUUGUUAUUACUUAUAAUAUUUUACCAUUUUUUAAUACUCAGUUAAUCUUUGCUCAGGACAAGGAUGGGCUGAUAAUAUAUCUUUCUCUGAGAACUGUGGUUUCAAAAAAUCAGCAGUUUCACUACUGUGAUUUUGUAGUUCGUCUUCUGGAAGGGAUGUGUGGAAUAGAAACAGUGAAGUCAUAAGACCAGAGAAGACAGAAGCCCAGAGGGGAAAAAGGUACUCAUGACAAAUUCCCCUGCAAGCUCAGACAAUAAUCCUUGGGAAAACUGAGUGUCAGGAUCCUGGUUAUGGAGCCAUUGGGCCAUUUAUGGACAACCUUUGCUGGAGAGUGCUGCUGCAGUCAUGAUCAUCAUCAAGAAAGGAAAACACACAAAUGGACCAUGCAAACUAAGAUGGUUUUUGGUUGGACUUUAUGACCUUAAAGGUACUUUAGUAGUUUUGUUCUGAGUAGUUUUGUUUGACCUCAUUGCAGCCUUCCAGCAUCUGAAGGGAGCCUAUGGAAAACAUGGAGGGAGACUAUUUAAAAGGGCCUGGAGUGACAGGACAAGGGGAAAUGGCUUCACACUGACAGAGAGGAGUUUAGGUUGGAUAUUGGGAAG